RNAcentral lists this ribosomal RNA (293 nucleotides) under uncultured microorganism. Its description in RNAcentral is "partial 16S ribosomal RNA". It matches the Rfam family "Bacterial small subunit ribosomal RNA", at positions 505 to 796 of the family's 1533-position model. The record is from RNAcentral.
GUGCCAGCAGCCGCGGUAAUACUGGAGGGUGCGAGCGUUAAUCGGAAUUACUGGGCGUAAAGCGCAUGCAGGUGGUUCAUUAAGUCAGAUGUGAAAGCCCGGGGCUCAACCUCGGAACUGCAUUUGAAACUGGUGAACUAGAGUGCUGUAGAGGGGGGUAGAAUUUCAGGUGUAGCGGUGAAAUGCUGUAGAGAUCUGAGGAAUACCAGUGGCGAAGGCGGCCCCCUGGACAGACACUGACACUCAGAUGCGAAAGCGUGGGGAGCAAACAGGAUUAGAUACCCUGGUAGUCC